CCUACGGGAGACUGCAGUGAGGAAUAUUGGUCAAUGGACGAGAGUCUGAACCAGCCAAGUAGCGUGAAGGAUGACUGCCCUAUGGGUUGUAAACUUCUUUUAUAUGGGAAUAAAAUGUUCCACGUGUGGGAUUUUGUAUGUACCAUAUGAAUAAGGAUCGGCUAACUCCGUGCCAGCAGCCGCGGUAAUACGGAGGAUCCGAGCGUUAUCCGGAUUUAUUGGGUUUAAAGGGAGCGUAGGUGGAUUGUUAAGUCAGUUGUGAAAGUUUGCGGCUCAACCGUAAAAUUGCAGUUGAAACUGGCAGUCGUGAGUACAGUAGAGGUGGGCGGAAUGCGUGGUGUAGCGGUGAAAUGCUUAGAUAUCACGAAGAACUCCGAUUGCGAAGGCAGCUCACUGGACUGCAACUGACACUGAGGCUCGAAAGUGUGGGUAUCAAACAGGAUUAGAUACCCUUGUAGUC
Molecule: ribosomal RNA, 460 nt
Filed under: uncultured bacterium
Lineage: Bacteria
Description: partial 16S ribosomal RNA
Rfam family: Bacterial small subunit ribosomal RNA
Source: RNAcentral